GACGAACGCUGGCGGCGUGCUUAACACAUGCAAGUCGAACGGAACGGCCCUGCUUUUGUGGGGUGCUCGAGUGGCGAACGGGUGAGUAACACUUGAGUAACCUGCCCUUGACUUUGGGAUAACUUCAGGCAACUGGGGCUCAUACCGGAUAGGAGCUCCUGCUGCAUGGUGGGGGUUGGAAAGUUUCGGCGGUUGGGGAUGGACUCGCGGCGUAUCAGCUUGUUUGUGGGGUAGUGGCUUACCAAGGCUUUGACGGGUAGCCGGCCUGAGAGGGUGACCGGCCACAUUGGGACUGAGAUACGGCCCAGACUCCUACGGGAGGCAGCAGUGGGGAAUAUUGCACAAUGGGCGGAAGCCUGAUGCAGCAACGCCGCGUGCGGGAGGACGGCCUUCGGGUUGUAAACCGCUUUCGCCUGUGACGAAGCGUGAGUGACGGUAAUGGGUAAAGAAGCACCGGCUAACUACGUG
RNAcentral lists this ribosomal RNA (468 nucleotides) under uncultured bacterium. RNAcentral's name for it is "partial 16S ribosomal RNA". It matches the Rfam family "Bacterial small subunit ribosomal RNA", at positions 28 to 507 of the family's 1533-position model. The record is from RNAcentral.